RNAcentral lists this ribosomal RNA (74 nucleotides) under uncultured bacterium. RNAcentral describes it as "partial 16S ribosomal RNA". The record is from RNAcentral.
CUGACUACAACCAGAAAACGAUCAGGCUAACCGCAAGGGGCCUUCGUUGAAGGUGGGGUUGGGUGACGUGGGUG